GACAGCAGUAGCCACGGGAAUACGGAGGGUGCAAGCGUUAAUCGGAAUUACUGGGCGUAAAGCGCACGCAGGCGGUCUGACAAGUCAGAUGUGAAAUCCCCGGGCUUAACCUGGGAACUGCAUUUGAAACUGUCAGGCUGGAGUCUUGUAGAGGGGGGUGGAAUUCCAGGUGUAGCGGUGAAAUGCGUAGAGAUCUGGAGGAAUACCGGUGGCGAAGGCGGCCCCCUGGACAAAGACUGACGCUCAGGUGCGAAAGCGUGGGGAGCAAACAGGAUUAGAUACCCGAGUAGUCCCUGUCUCUUAUAC
Molecule: ribosomal RNA, 306 nt
Filed under: uncultured bacterium
Lineage: Bacteria
Description: partial 16S ribosomal RNA
Rfam family: Bacterial small subunit ribosomal RNA
Source: RNAcentral